This 468-nucleotide ribosomal RNA is filed under the name uncultured bacterium. Its description in RNAcentral is "partial 16S ribosomal RNA". It matches the Rfam family "Bacterial small subunit ribosomal RNA", at positions 28 to 507 of the family's 1533-position model. The record is from RNAcentral.
GACGAACGCUGGCGGCGUGCUUAACACAUGCAAGUCGAACGGAAAGGCCCUGCUUUUGUGGGGUGCUCGAGUGGCGAACGGGUGAGUAACACGUGAGUAACCUGCCCUUGAUUUUGGGAUAACUUCAGGAAACUGGGGCUAAUACCGGAUAGGAGCUCCUGCUGCAUGGUGGGGGUUGGAAAGUUUCGGCGGUUGGGGUUGGACUCGCGGCUUAUCAGCUUGUUGGUGGGGUAGUGGCUUACCAAGGCUUUGACGGGUAGCCGGCCUGAGAGGGUGACCGGCCACAUUGGGACUGAGAUACGGCCCAGACUCCUACGGGAGGCAGCAGUGGGGAAUAUUGCACAAUGGGCGGAAGCCUGAUGCAGCAACGCCGCGUGCGGGAUGACGGCCUUCGGGUUGUAAACCGCUUUCGCCUGUGACGAAGCGUGAGUGACGGUAAUGGGUAAAGAAGCACCGGCUAACUACGUG